This 83-nucleotide small RNA is filed under the name Marmota monax (woodchuck). Lineage: Eukaryota; Metazoa; Chordata; Mammalia; Rodentia; Sciuridae. The record is from RNAcentral.
GCCAGGCGCAGUGGCGCAUGCCUGUAAUCCCAGCAGCUCGGGAGGCUGAGGCAGGAGGAUCACAAGUUCAAAGCCAGCCUCAG